CCCUGCUCUCCCGCAGGUGUUCCACGUGUCCAUAGCAUUUACGUCACAAUGACCUGGCCGACAGGUGGGAGCCGCCGCGAGCGCCCCAGGGUUCCCUCCGUGCUGUGAGUGAUGAGUCCUCCUUGCUUCCACGUAAGAUUUCUGUAGCUUUUGGAGACAGGAGACUUCAUGACUUCAGUGUUAAGAAAAGUUACAGAGGCCUGUAUUUGGAAAUCAACUUGGAGCUUAAAGGAAAAGUCUGUGUGAAAAAAAACAAAAACAAUUGUGGAUAUAUAAUGUUAUCCAGGUAAUGGUUCAAUUUAUCAUGUGGUUCAUAGGCUGUAGAAUACUGAAAUGGGAUUCUGACAGAAUUGAAGAGGAAUGCACAUACGCCAGAGGUCCUGGACUUGAAGUGGCUACUUGAACAUUAUCUUACCAUCUUCAGGAUCCCCAAGUGUAAAAACAUGUUCUUCUAUCCCCUGUAUGUAAAGAAAGUUAUUCUAUAGUUCUUUGUAUAUGUACUUAUAUAUCCCACAUUUGUGUUGUCUUCUCCAUGUCCACUCAUUCAGCCAGACAUUUACUGAGCACUUAAAAUGGGUCAGACACUGUGUUAGGUUAUGUUUAUUUGUAUUCUUUCCAAUUGCAAGUUUUUGAUUUUAUAGUUCUAACGUUGCAUACAAAAAGUAUGCUUAAAACACAAUCUCUUACUCUAAUUUAAACCUUAUUCUCUUAUAUAGUUGACUGUAGUGUAUUCAUAGAUCUAAGAGACAGGACUACUGAAUAAAUGGACUAGUAAUUCUGAUAAUUCUAAAACUUCCCAGUGAAAUCUUCUAUCUGUAUAGUCUUAUGCAUGUAUAAAAUUUUAUUGAGAGCUGAAAAAAAAAUUACAGAAAAUGUGAUGAAUUUUAUUGUCAAUAAUUUUAUUUAAAAUGCCAAAUUAAAUACAGGUGAAUAUAAUCUGUAACUUAAUAUCAUUUAUUAUGUGCCAACUUGGUCAGAUCAAUAAUUUCAGCUAGCAUAAGAAAGCUAGAUACAUGAAAAAUUCCUGGCAGUCAUGUUAAAAUUAUUCCAUUCACUAGAAGUUCACCUUUUGCAAAUAAAGUUUUAUUUCUGGAUCUUUAUAGAUUACUCUAUGAGAAAAGAAUCAGGAGAAAUAGGAAAUAAAUUUAAAAUGGACAUUUUGUUCAGAUGACUCGAUUAACUGGAAGCUACUGCUAUUAGCCAGCUCCGUUCAGCGAGGAUCAAUUGAGCAGAAGAUCCUGGGUAGAGCGACUGAAAACACUAGCAUCCUAGAACAGCUAUGAGAGGAAUUCUCGACUUCGGUCUCUGCUGCCCUCAGUGUCCACGUUGGCCUGAUUGGACCCAGGCCUGGCCAGCAUUUUAUGAGUUGUGAUAUUGUGAUUUAUAAUAACAAAUAUGUAUUUGGUCUUUGUCCCCAUUUCUAGCACACAGCUCCUAAAACCCUUGUGGUUUCCUAAAUGAUAACAAUAGAGGUGUCUUUUGUUUUGUAAACGAAGUGAGUUUUCAAAGUACCUGUGGACUGGAGCUGGUUGCCAGGAAACCAACUCUGAUUAGAGGUUUGGAAUUUUCAGUCCCAUCCCCAACUCCAGGGAGGGGAGAGGGACUGGGGUUAGAUCAAUCACCAAUAGCCAAUGAUUACAUCAAUCAUUGUAAGGAAGCCUCUAUAAAUAUCCAAAAAUCGAUAGGAUUGGGAGAACCUCUGUGCUGGUGAACACAUGAAGAUUUGGGGCAGGGAGUGCCUCAGGAGAGAGCAUGGAAGCUCUGUGCCCUUUCCCCUUACCUUGUGCUAUGUGUCUCUCUUAUCUGACUAUUCCCGAGUUAUAUCCUUUUAUAGUCAGUCAGUAACUAGUAAGUAAAUUGUUUCUCUGAGUUCUGUGAACUGCUCCAACAAAUGAACUGAACCCAAGGAGGCGACUGUGGGAACCUCUGGUUUAUAGGCAGUCUGGUCAGAAACACAGCUUGGGGGUGCCUGGGUGGCUCAGUCCUUAAGUGUCUGCCUUCGGCUCAGGGUGUGAUCCCGGCGUUCUGGGAUCGAGCCCCACAUCGGGCUCCUAUGCUGGGAGCCUGC
Ailuropoda melanoleuca (giant panda) is the source of this 2068-nucleotide long non-coding RNA. RefSeq lists it as uncharacterized. The record is from RefSeq and is a predicted model, not a curated record. The transcript is spliced from 3 exons. NCBI's taxonomy places the organism in Eukaryota, Metazoa, Chordata, Mammalia, Carnivora, Ursidae.